RNAcentral lists this long non-coding RNA (150 nucleotides) under Mus spicilegus (steppe mouse). RNAcentral's name for it is "lncRNA (ENSMSIG00000028970.1)". Lineage: Eukaryota; Metazoa; Chordata; Mammalia; Rodentia; Muridae. The record is from RNAcentral.
GAGGGGUUUCCUCAGCAGUGCCCCGGAGCAGGGACUGAGCCAGCCAGCAGAAACAGCUAGUUGUUGUCUGCAGUGAAGAAUAAUUGGAAGCAUGGUGCCUGUUUCUUUUCCUGUGGGAGGAAGUCACAGCAUCUACUUCUGAAUCUGUGC